This 75-nucleotide transfer RNA is filed under the name Coriobacteriaceae bacterium. RNAcentral describes it as "tRNA-Thr". It matches the Rfam family "tRNA". Rfam says of the family: Transfer RNA (tRNA) molecules are approximately 80 nucleotides in length. Their secondary structure includes four short double-helical elements and three loops (D, anti-codon, and T loops). Further hydrogen bonds mediate the characteristic L-shaped molecular structure. tRNAs have two regions of fundamental functional importance: the anti-codon, which is responsible for specific mRNA codon recognition, and the 3' end, to which the tRNAs corresponding amino acid is attached (by aminoacyl-tRNA synthetases). tRNAs cope with the degeneracy of the genetic code in two manners: having more than one tRNA (with a specific anti-codon) for a particular amino acid; and 'wobble' base-pairing, i.e. permitting non-standard base-pairing at the 3rd anti-codon position. The record is from RNAcentral. Lineage: Bacteria; Bacillati; Actinomycetota; Coriobacteriia; Coriobacteriales; Coriobacteriaceae. RNAcentral also lists the same sequence under 3 other names.
GCCUGUGUAGCUCAGGGGUAGAGCACUUCCUUGGUAAGGAAGAGGCCAUCGGUUCAAAUCCGAUCACAGGCUCCA